This 485-nucleotide ribosomal RNA is filed under the name Cronobacter sakazakii. Its description in RNAcentral is "partial 23S ribosomal RNA". It matches the Rfam family "Bacterial large subunit ribosomal RNA", at positions 711 to 1194 of the family's 2925-position model. Lineage: Bacteria; Pseudomonadati; Pseudomonadota; Gammaproteobacteria; Enterobacterales; Enterobacteriaceae. RNAcentral also lists the same sequence under 9 other names. The record is from RNAcentral.
AGACCCGAAACCCGGUGAUCUAGCCAUGGGCAGGUUGAAGGUUGGGUAACACUAACUGGAGGACCGAACCGACUAAUGUUGAAAAAUUAGCGGAUGACCUGUGGCUGGGGGUGAAAGGCCAAUCAAACCGGGAGAUAGCUGGUUCUCCCCGAAAGCUAUUUAGGUAGCGCCUCGUGAACUCAUCUCCGGGGGUAGAGCACUGUUUCGGCUAGGGGGCCAUCCCGGCUUACCAACCCGAUGCAAACUGCGAAUACCGGAGAAUGUUAUCACGGGAGACACACGGCGGGUGCUAACGUCCGUCGUGAAGAGGGAAACAACCCAGACCGCCAGCUAAGGUCCCAAAGUCAUGGUUAAGUGGGAAACGAUGUGGGAAGGCCCAGACAGCCAGGAUGUUGGCUUAGAAGCAGCCAUCAUUUAAAGAAAGCGUAAUAGCUCACUGGUCGAGUCGGCCUGCGCGGAAGAUGUAACGGGGCUAAACCAUGCAC